GGAAGGCUUCCAUUAUGAAGUAAACAUUACCCAGCAGAACUGUCAGUAGUGAAAUAAGGAAUACCUAACAGGAACCAAGAUGUCCUGGGCAUUUUUGGUGGGAGAAGUGAAGAGCACACAGGCUACACUACCCAGGUAUGUCCUAUAUUCAGAGCUGACUUCUGUUUCAUGGGAUUAGGAGCAAUUUAACAGUGUGUGCCAUCUGAAAGAGUGAAGGUGCUGGUAAGACUCCUAUCGCUCUACAGAGAAAUAAAGAAGAGACAACACAUGUGAUCAAAUGCAUAAAUCAAGUUAUCUUUGAAGAUUUUUACAGCUAGAAAAGCUAAAGAAGAAGAAAAUAUCAAACACAUCCAUACACAGUAAAUCAGUUGCCGUCAAAAAGAUUUAUUGAAGAAAAAUCAGCAAAGUGAAAACAGACCCAUUUUAAAAGCCUGUGUCAGGAAAGAAUGAAGAUCUAUGUCCUUGAAUUGUUAACCAAAAGCAUAAGAAGAGUGUGAUAUCAGUGCUUAAGACCUGAAAAAGAUGGACAAAAAUUCAAGAAAGAAAUUUUAAAGAAAGAAAAUCACAGUUUUCAUAUGUUCACCCAUAAUAUUCUUUUGGACAAAUGUGCAUGUUUGUAAAAUAUCAUUUUGCCUUAGUCUGCAUCCAACAUGAGCCAGGAAUAUUUCUUACAGGUGGGUGCUAAACAAUUACUGAAUAGCCUUAAUUCUUAUGUAUGUUUUUUAAUAGAAGAGAACCAUCAGUUAAAUACUAAUGAAAAAAAUCUGUUUAGAAUAAACAUUUCAGAUAUUUUAAUACUACAACAAUUUUUUUGAGAUAUGUUAAUUUCAUUCUCUCCAUCGCUUUAACUCAUACUAAAAUAUGCUAUUGAGAAUUAACUAAAAUGACAUACACCAUUAAAUGUAGCAAGAAGUGAGCUUUCUUUAUUGCUCUCUCUUCAUAUCCCUAAAGCUGGGAUUAGAAGGUUUUAUAUUAGGAUAAGUAAUUAUUGGAUAACAAUUAAACUUUGUGAUACUAGGGGAACUGUUGUAUUGCUGAGUUUUCUAAGUUUCCAUAAAUAUAUUCUGCUGUAUGAGCUCUAUUUCUAAGCAUCCACAUUUUCUAAGUCUAAUACUUGCCUUAAAAGCCCACAUUCUCUAAUUUAUUGAGAUUUUUGCUUGUUCAACAAACUUCUCAGAUGUUUAAGCUAGCUGUCUAGGCUAUUGUACAAUUCUACUUGACAUCUCCUUUGUUGCUUUAAAUCAGGAACUCAUCUGGUUCUUCUUUCAGUAGUUUAAAGACACCUGUUUCAGUUGUACAAUUGUCUUCUGUUUGGUUUGGGACAUCUAAAUCGGGAGUAGUUCCUGAAAAUGCCUCAGUGUCCUUACUUACAGAUUCCAUUCUAUUAUUUUCAGACAAAUCUUCUUUUGUCAUAGUAGAUGAAUCUUCCUUGAUGUUCGUCGCUACAGAUGCAGGGACAAUGAAGUCAUAUCUGGAUUCAACAGCACUUAGCAAAACAGGAUAUUUCUCUGCUUCAUUUGCAAUCUCUCUUUCUGUCCAAACAUUGAUUUCCUCCGUAGACUCUUCAUCAGUUAGCGGAAUAUCUUCUGGGUUGUCUUUGUCUCUUUCAACAGUGGUAGUGAGUUCAAACACAGUGAUGAACUUUUCCUCAUCAGAGUCAGUUAGUUUAGGCACAACAUUAGGGUCAUCCUCUGGAAGAAUUAAGUCAAUUUCAGUUAUUUUCUCUUCUGUAACGGUGGUUAUGUCUGGAAUAGUGGUGACGUUUUUUUCAGUAGCUGGAGAGAUUUCAGCCUCAGGAAUAGAGGAGUCAGUGAUCUGGACAGCCUCAUCAGCAGCGACAUUGGAUUUAACUGAGGAGCUAUCAUUGUUAGCUGGAAGGGCAGGGGUGUCAGCAGUGUUGGUGGUGCUGUCUUUUAGUGUGCCAGAGACUUCAGAAGUUGUUGAGACGUCUUCAUCCCCUGAGCCAAUAGUAUCCAAGAAAACAUCUUCUUUUGCCCUGUUAGUGGAAAAAUCUAUUAAAGACACAGUAGCAACAGGUGAUGAGAUAUUACCAAUUUUCAUUGAAAUGAAAUCUUCAGUAAUACAGUCACUAGCCAUGGAGUUUGUAGUGCCUGUCAGAGUGGUAAUGUCUUUCUCCAGAUGAGUUGAUGAUUUAAGAAUAUGGGAUUCAGCAUCAUCUUCUGAUUUUAGUCUUUCCUUUAGAGAUGUAAGCUUGUUGUAUGUAGUUGUUGAAAAAUCACUUUCUUGCAUAUGGUCAUUUACUGAAGUAAUGUGGUCUCCUUCUGAAGUAAUAGUUGUUUCUGAUCUAGGAAUAGUGUUUUCAGCCCCAAAGAAAAUGGUUGCUUCCGUUGUUGUUUUACUGCUUUCUGUUGGAGGAUGAGAAUAAAUUUUUGGCACACCAUCUUCAGCCAUGGGACGAAGUGGCACUAUGCACACUCAGAGGUCUUUCCCUGGGCCCAGUGAUAUCCCUAGGCAGGAGAGUAGUAUUCAUUAUAGUGAUGGAAGCACUGGUCAUCAAGGUGAUUGUUACAUCAACCACAGGGCCAAUGGCAUUGGCUCUCUGUGGAGGUUGUUUCUGUGCUCUGAUUGGGCACCUGGUUGCAAGAGUAUUGAUAUUAGAUAAAAAGACAACAGAGUCCUCUCUGGUUAUGUAAUCAAAAUUCACAGCUGAAUAUCAAUUGCAAAGAACUUGGGAUUUAACAUAUUUCUGAAUAUAAAGGAUGUGCCUUCCAAUAUGGGGCUUGUGUCACUUGAAACAGACAUAACAGAGUCUGCCAGUGUCAAUGGAGGAAACUCCAAGAGCCACAAGAUUAUCAGCAUCAUCUCCAAGUUGCCUGUCCUUCAAGUUAAGUAGCAAUAUCUUUUUUGAGGUGUUUGAGGUGAAGCAUCUUCUCUUGAGAUUCAUGGUAUUUAAAUGUCUAAAAAACUUCAUGGCCCUUUCAGCAGUGAAUGUGGCUGUAGAAAGUGCUCAGGGAGCAGGGAUUGUAGUUAGUUCUCUUCUUCAGGGAGGAAAUUCUCCCUUUUUCAGUAUGGAUAAUAAAAAAUAUGUUACUGACCUGUUAGAGUCUUUGUAGUUUUCUUCUUCCCUGUAAUUCUUACUUUUUCUUGAAUUAACUUGAAUAACAGUGAGAGUGUCAGGUUUUGUAGGUUUAAUUUCUUUAGAAAUGUUUUCCUGUAGAGAGUGCUAUUUCAACCUGAAAAGAAUUUUCUGGCAGGAAGUUGGUGGUAAAUGUCAGAAUUCACCCAGAAACAAGAUCAGGCUGUGGAAUAACUGUAUUAGCCCUAAGAAUUAUAUCCUCAAUUUCAGAGGGAAUAUUUUGUCUAAUGAUGUUAGUUACAUCAGUCAUUAUUAUUUUGUUAUCAUCUUAAGAUUUAGCUAAUUAGAUACAAGAAGAUUGUAGUCUGGUACUACUCUUUUCCCAGGGUCAUUAGAAGAAAGAGAACUUUCAGACUCAGACAAAACUAAAUCUGAAAAAGGGCAGCAGUUUCGCCUAGAGUAGUGGUUUCCAUCUCAAGGGCAAAUGCUUAUUCUUCAUUAGAUAUGGACUCAACCUCAAAGUUUACAGUGUCUUUUCUUAGUUGAUUCACCUGGUACAGAUAUAUCACCACUCUCUGUAGAAAUAUCAGACAGGUUUUAAGAUGAACAUUUUUCAUUUUAAAGAUAUGGGCAGCUUCUCCAGAAAUGAUUUUGCUUCAAGGGGCUGUCACUAUCAUGGGCUCCCAUGUCUCACUGCUCCAGGGAAUGCUGUCAGCAUCAGAGACAGGGAAGGAAGUCUCAAGUUAACGAUAGGCACAGUUUCUUUAUUUCUAAAUAAAAGUACUCUCGGUUCCAGUGGCAGUAAAGGAAAUCACAGGGUAAAGCCAUUCUCUGGGCUGGCUAACUUAAUGGGCAGUUUUUAACCUCUACAUUUUUCCUCAUAAUCUAGUGUUUGUGAAGCUUAAUUCAGGACAAGGCAUGCUAUAAACCAAAGACUUGGUGUCCUUUUGGGGGAAUUUUUUUGUGUACAAAAAGGGGAAAAAAAGAUGGAAGUAUUAGCUAUGUAACUGCUGGAAGUUAUCUUGGUAUCUGUUAUGGUGAAUAGAGUUAGAAUAUGGAGGAAAAUUUUCAUUUUUAUGAGUAUUUUUUUUUUUAAAGAUUGGCACCUAACAUAACAUCUGUUGCCGAUCUUCUUUUUUUUUUUUCUUCUCCCUAAAGCCCCCAAAUACAUAGUUGUGUAUUCUAGUUGUAGGUCCUUCUGGUUGUGCUAUGUGGGAUUCCACCUCAGCAUGGCUUGAUCGGUGCCAUGUCUGUGCCCAGGAUCCAAACCGCUGAAACCCUGGGCCGCUGAAGCAGAGUGCAGGAACUUAACCUCUCGACCAUGGGACCAAUCCCCAUUUUUAUGAGUAUUUAAUCUGCACUUAGAAAUGUCAGGUGAAAUGAUGAUAUCAUCUUCAUAGAUACUAAUUUGUCAAAUAGUCUUUAAUUUCAGGGUUUACUUUUGUGGUCUCACCAACUUUGCUUCUACUAAUAUAGCUAUGAAGUGGAUUCACAUUGAUUAUAGCAUAAUAAAGCUUUUUUCUCCUAUGGAGAAUAUUAUUACCAUUAUUGUGUUUUUUAAACCAUUGGGCUCAAAAAGGACACUUCAGAUGGAGAGUGUGUGUCAUCCAUCAAAGAGCAGGAAGCACACGGUGAAAAUCCUGAUGGGACUUCUGGAACUUUAGCAAUCUUGAGGGUGGAACUGGAGUCAUCUGCUCUAGGGAAUAUAGUAUAUUCUUAUCUGACCAAUAAUUACCAUUAAAAAUAUUAUCUGUCUUAAUCUCUGUAUGACUCCACUCAUAUGUGGAUGUUAAACAUGUAGACAAAGAGGACAGGUUAGUGGUUACCAGGGGAAAGGGGAGGUGGGGUGGGCAAAGGGUGAAGUGGUGCACCUACAACACGACUGACAAAUAAUAAUGUACAACUGAAAUUUCACAAGGUUUUAAACCAUCAUAAUCUCAAUAAAAAGUUAAAAAAAUAUUAUCUGUCUUAAGGACAGAAGAUCAGAUUCUAUAGAUAAGUUUCAUUUUAUCAGAAUUGUAGUUUCUUCCGUUGUGGUAUCUAUCAAUCUAAUGAGAACAUUUUGUCUUUUCUCAGGAAAGUAUCAAAUUUAUAUCCAUUGACAUGUCUCUUAGAGUAUAUAUCUUCCUUAUUUUGGUAGCUGUAGCAGGAGUUUUCUUGGGUUACAUUUCAUACUUGCUCUAAAUUUUGAGGUGUUUGACUCAGUGAUUAUGCCUUCAAGUAGCAAUUUCUUCAGCUUCAUGAUGAACAGCUGUUUUUUUUAAAUGAAAAAGUGGAAACUGCCACCAAAAAGGGGAGAUUUCUCAGUAAGGCCCCAGGAAGGUCAUUUGGCACAUUUAUGAUUUUCAGGGAUACUUGACUAAGAAGAGUCCUCAGAAUCAGACUUUGAAAGUGCCGAUGUCGUAGUGAUGUCCACCAUUGAGACUUUCUUUGUAUGGUGCAUAUCUUAAGAUUUAUCAGAAGAAAUGUCAAGUGCAAUUUAGAAAGAAUCAACUGAGACGAGUGGUAUCUCCUAUAGAAACUAGAAUUCCUAUUUUAGAGAGAGUCUAUGUGUCUUCAGAUUUUAUAAAUUUAUUGGAGAAAAUAGAAUUUAAACCUUAAUUGAGUUGAUUAUAAUUAUUACUAGAAUGUAGUUGGUGAGGAAGUUUUCAGGUGCAAUAUCUCCAUUCACAAAAGAGUUCCCACCUUUAUAAACAGUGAAGGAAGUGAGAGGAGAAAUUACAUUUUGAUAUUUGGUUAUAACGACAUCCACAUUUUUGUCCUCUUUUCCUCCAGUGAUUAGAACGUUGGGUGCAUGAGUAAGGAAGUUGUAAUUGAAAGAUGUGUUGGCCUCUGGGGUCACUAUUGUUUUGUCUUCAAGAAAGAUGGCAUUUACAUCUGCUUUGUUGUUUGUGACUGAGGAGUAUCAGCCCUAAAAAAGUGUUUACUUCAACAACCUUUUUAGCUUGUGGUAUAAUAGAAAUUUCUUGAAACAUAGGUAUUAUUUUUGCUAUUCCAGCAAUGGAUUCAUGUGUACCGUUUGUACUUUCUGAAGUUUAAAAUUCAGUAUUUGUUGUUUUGAGAUUGGCUACAUUAAAUUCCAACAGAGAAUUUCCUUCUAACUCAGAAGUUAUCUCCGUGUAAAAAUGAAGAUUUUUCAUCAGUAGGAAUAAUGGUAUUUACUUCCGUGAGCAAGUUUGAGUUCUCAGCCAUGAAGUGGGUUUCUGAGGAACAGAUCCUUCUGGGAGGAAAUCCUUGGGUAUAUGAAAGCUUGAAUAAGCUGCUACAAGGACACUGUAAUAAUCCUUACUGACUGACUUAUUACCAGGAUUGACAUUUUUAUUCACAAGAUAAGGCUUUUCAGCAUCUUUUAGAGAAUUUGUUUCCACCUGGAUAACUGGAUCGUUUCCUAUUUCAUUAUUUACAUCUGUAAGGUGAUUCACUUCAAAUUCAGUAGCUAUGUCUUUCAUGGUAGAAGCAUUAAUUAUUUUCCUUGUAGAAGCUUGGUUUACUAUAUUCAUUAGGAAAAAGAAUAGAAAACGUUGUUGUUGUUUUCUUGGGUUCUGAAUUUUGAUCACCAGAGGCAUCAUUAUCAAAAAUUUUGUUCUUGGUGACAACAGUAGAAGAUGUGUUAGGCUUGACUUUGGCCAUAUUGUCUGAAGAACCAGUGGAAUCAGCUUGGAGAACAGUAUAAACCAAGGGGAAAGCCUUUAGGACUCUUUGGCUUUUAGUAUUUUGUCUUUCUGAGACAAUGCCUUCAUUGAAGUAAGGUGAGUCUACAGACACAGGCUCUGAUGCAGCUGAUAUUAACACUGUUGGGUAAGAUAGGUUUGGACCUUUUACAAGUCUGGGGCCUGCAGUUUCUUUAGAAGGAAGAUUAGAAGUUAGGAUGAGAGUUUCAGGUAGUCCCAUAGAUGUAAGUCUUAGAGACAUGACACUUUUUGAUGAUGGAAAGUUAUAAUGGCCAAUGUUAUUUUUGUUCUUAGUGGCAAUAGCAGGAGCAUAUGGCAUAAUGGCAGAAAUCUUUUUCAAAGGAUUAAAGGAUGUAAGAGCUGUGUUGAUUGCACCUUCUGUGUUUUCAUUAACAUUGGACAUGUCCUCACUGGAAAGGUGAGCUAAAGAAAAGCUGCUGAACCUUGGAUCAGAUACUGCAGCUCUACCUGUUUGAUCUUCGGUAAAAUCAGAAAUACUGGAUGUGGUAGUAUCUGCUCUUCUGGGUGUAGAUGUCUUAUAAAAGGCAGGUGAUAUGUUUUUCCUGAGGAAAUUGUCACUAUUUUUUAAAGCAUGAUUAGUAGUAUCAGUUGUGAAUAUCCUGCUGUCAACUACGGGUUUUGUGUCUGGAAAAAGGAAAUGCUCAAUUAUUUUAUUUUCUGAGUCAAAGCCUUCUGAGAGAACUAUGGUGUCACCAUCAUCACUGAUGGUGUUUUUUCCCACAGAUGUGUUGUCAGAAAAAUUAGAAGGAAAAUUCUUACUUGCAUCAAUUAGGAAGUGAGUUGUGGGUCUAUGAGCUUUGGUAUUGACAUUGACAUUGGAAUCUUUGAGAGCGAUGGAAUUGGUGUCUAAGUUCUUGUUUUCCUGUCUAGGAAUCAUAGCUUGGUAAUUCUCUUUAGUGUUGAACUCUGGGGGUGUUGUUUUAGAUAGACUGUCUGAAGCAGCAACUGUGGUAUAUGCUGCAUGAGACACAUGUGUCUUGGGGGCAUAUAUGAAUGUACUCCAUUUUGCAGGGGGAUUAUUUGAUCUAUCCUCUAUAUCAAAGGCAUGCUUAUCUGAGACAUAUUCAGAACCACUGUCAUCAGACUUAAUAAUUAUAUAGUCUACAUAUGCUGGAGUGAUUUUGCCUGCAGAAGAAAUGUCAUCCACCCUUUCUGCAACGUCUUCUGUAAAAUAAAUAGAUUCAUAUUUAGGAGUCGUCUCUCUAAGAUCUUUGUGGUCAAAUAUGUUCCUUUUAAAAGUACUUGCCAUGUCUUUUUCAGAGGUAAUUAUAAUAGGUAAAAUAACUUCAUCAGAUGGAAUAAUUAGUUCCUCAGGUAGAAUGUUAUAAUCAAUCUUUUUGGUGGUAUCUUUUCCCAUAGUAGUAACAGGAACAAGUUCAGAAUAUUCGGAAGUUCCCAUGGAUGUUGUGAAUUCAGGAGGAGGAAAAGUUGACCUCGGUUGUAGGCCAUAUAAUUCAGUCAGGGUGUUUGUGAUAGACCUUCUGUGUUAGUGACUUUAUUGUGAGAGGCAGGCCUAGAUGCUUCUGGAAGAGUUAAUGUGGAAUCGGCUAAAAAGAUUCCUUUUAAAUUGGGCGGUGUUUGCGGUUUGAAGGAAGCCCGAUCAAAUUUAGCAGUGAAAGAAUCACCCGUAUUGUUGUCACUCUUGGAGAGAAGAUUGGGCUCAGUUGCUGAUGGCAGGAUUUUCCCUGUAGCUGGGAUGAAAACUGUUGUAUUUGUAAAAUGACUUAAUUCCAAUUUAGCAGCUGGAUCUUCUUGAUUGAAAAUAUUAAUCAUUUUCCUUCUCUUGUAGUCACUAUUUUGAGAAUCUUCUCUAGGAGAAAAGGCUUUCAUCAUUACUCUUUGAGAUUUGGAAUAUAUUUUGUCAGUCUUAGUUUUAUAAUUAUCAGGAGUAUCUCUAUUCAGACAGAGAAAUGAAUUAACUUCACUAUCUGUGAUACUAUCUGAAAAAGUAGUUGAUCCAGUUGGAGGAACAUUCCAGGCCAAAGGAUAGGAAUGGAUGUCAGCUUGAGUUGUUAUGACCUGCCUCUCCGGAAUAUCACCUCUGUUAAUGACAUCAGCAUAUUCAGUUGCUGUCUCUAACUCUUCUGAUCUAGUUAUUAAAGAUUCAGACAAAGAGUUAUCUGUCAUUAGGCCAGAGGUUUCAGGAUUUUCAGGUAAGGAAUUAGGAAUAAAUGUGGCAGAUGUUAAUAGAGAUGAGAAUCCUCUAGAUUUAACAUUGUCUUCUUCAGGUAACAUAGAAUCAUUUUCUUCAUAACUACCUUCAGUGGAAAGAACAAUGGAAUCAGCUACAGUGCUGGCUGCCUUAUUCAGAGAUGAAGAAAAGAUGGAAGCUCUGUUGUUUGUUUUGUCAGUAUUUUUACUGAUGAAAGAAAGAUCAUUAUCAGGAAUGACACUGAACUCAGCCAAAGGAAUAAUGUCCUGUGAAUGGGGCGUAUCUGCUAAGUUUGGUUUAUGUUCAUUUGCAUCAAAUCUGGAUAAUAUGAUGGUUUUUGCUUCAUCUGGGGCAGCAUUAGUAUAAAAGCAGAUGAGACACCUCUCCUGCUGAAUUCGUCUUUGUAUUCUAGAGGAUUGGUGAUUCCAGCAGGAUCAGUGGAAUGAGUCAUGAAUACCCUGCUCUCUUCCAUUCUUGUCAUUAAUUCUGGGUCUAGAACAAGUGGGUACUCUAUUCUUUUGUGUUUAGGGAGAAUGAUGAUGAUGUUAUCUCCAAUUAGAGAACUAUUUUUCACAAUUGUUUCAUCUAGAAACUCAGGUAAAAAAAUCCAACCUGAAUUAGUAAGAGAAUAAAUCAUGGAUCUGGGAGCGUUGGUGUUAAAAUUGACAGGGGUUGAGGGAAGCGUUUUCUCCAAAGUUGGAAUGAGGACUGUUGCAUUUGUAAUGUGACUUAAAUCAAAUUUUGCAGCUGUGUCUUCCUCAGCAGAGAGUUUAGCCGUUUUCCUUAUUUCAGAAGAGAAAGGGCUUAUUCGUCUAGGUGAAAGGACUUCCAUCGUUGUACCCAGAGGUUGAACACCUUUCUUAGCUUUAGAAAUGUUAACGGUUUCUCUCUUCACAGUGGAUGAUGAAUCAGCCUUAUUAUCUGUAGAAUUCCUGGUAAAAGUUAUUGAAUUAAUAGAAGGAAUACUUGAGUCCAAGGAGUGGGGCUGAAGGUCUGUUUGAAUUUUAAUGUCCUGAUUUUCAGAAAUAUCAUUUCCAUGAAUGAAACCAAGGCAUUCACUCACUGUCUCUGAUAUCUCUGAUACUGACUUUGAGGAGUCAGUCAAGGAGUUAUUACUCAUUGGGACAGAAUCCUCAGUUAAGACUUCAGGCAUGAGAAUGAUACUUUCAGUUGUUGGUAGAAAUGGGAAUUCUCUAGGCCUGACAUUGUUUUCAUCAGGUUGCAUGGAAUCACCCCCUUCAUAACUGUUCUCAAGGGAAGGAGCAGUAGUGUCAGCCAUAGGGUGAAUUGUCUUCAUAGAUGAAGAAGAAGUUGAUGCCCUGCUUUUAGUAUUCUCAAAAUCUUCAUCAAAAAAGGAAAGUUCAUUAUCAAGGUUGACUUUGAAUGUAGCUGAAGGAACAGUGGCAUCCUGUGAAUGGUAACUCUCUGCCUUGAAAAUUUUGUCUUGAUUAUAUUCUGACAUAGGUGACAUAGUGGGUUUCCUCUGGUCAUAAAGACAAGUGAACGUGACCUUUCUCCUGUAGAGUGGGCCUUUACUUGUUAUUGGAGUGGUGCUCAGGGUGAGUUCUGUGAUUUCAUCUGGGAAUGUCCUGCUUUCUCCCACAGUUUCCGUUGAUUCUGGGUCUGGAGCAUUGAUAUGGUCAAUCCCUUUGCCUUCUGGAAGAAUGAUGAUAUCAUUUCCACUUAGGGUGCCUCUUCUCAGAGUUUAAUCAUCUGGAAACUUGGGGGAAAAUUUUCUGUUUCCAUCUGUUAGGGAGUGAGUCAUGGUGCUAGGUGACUUACUUCUGAACUUGGCAGUAUAAUCUUUGAGGAAGGGGCCAUCUUUGUCGGAAUCAGGGUUUCGUUUUCUGGGGAUCAGCAUUUGGUAUUUUUGUUUAGUUUUGAGAUCUAUAGGAUUUUCAUUCAAGAGACUUUUGGUGACAUGUGCAGUGGGGAAGGAAGCAUGAGACCCAAAUCUAUGGAGCCCUUGAAUGAAGGUAGCUGUUUUUGUUGUGGGGCUUUUUCCUUUUUGUCCAACAUAAAAGGUAUUUUCCUCUGACACAUAUUUAAUAGUACUGUCAUCAAGUGCAAUGGUCAUUAGAUGCAUAUUAUUUGGAUUGUUUUCCCCUGCCAGGAAAACCACAUCUGACUCUGCUAAAAAGUCCUUUGUAAAAGGAAUUACUUCAUAUUGAGUUUCAUGAUAUUUUUCUGCAGAAUCUACAUGUAUUUUUCCAUUUAUAAUGUUCCUUGUGUUGUCAAUAGAGAUAAUACUGUCAGGUGAAAUGAUUUCUUUGUCAGGUAGGACAAUUAUAUCAUCAGAUGUAAUAGACUCAUCAAUCAUUUUUAUGUCACUCUCUUCUAUACUGAGUGCUGGAUCAAAUUCAGAAUUAUGGGUUUUAAUAAAGUCAGCAACAAAAUCAGUAGGAGAAAGAGGGGGUAGAUGAUAUAAUGUAUUAUAAGAGUUUGUAGUAGACCUCUCUGAGUUUUCAUUAUCAAGAGAAAAUGAGCCCUUAGCCCUGGGCUUUGUCAGCUUUGUUGUGCUCGUUGUGGAAUCAGGGUAAAAUGUUUCUUUUAAAGUUUCAUGUGCUUUCUGUUCAUCAGGCAAAACAUCAGGCUUAAGAAUGAAAGGAUCAAUGUUCACUGAAUUUACCUCUCUUAAGUUCACUGGAAUUUCCGCUUCAGAAAUGUAGGAUUCAUCCUCUACAAUAGCCUUAUCUUUACUGAGGAAUGCAUUAGCCUCAGUUCCUGAGGUAGUGAUUUCUUUUGCAGGUGGGUUGAUAACUGUUUUACUUACAUGAUGACUUGCAGCAUAGUCAGAAGUUUUAUCUUUCUGCCCUUUUUUGUGGAUUACAGGUUGAAUGGCUAUAUUAGGUGCCAAGACCAUGGCAUCAGUUUUAUCAUUAAUGCCCCCAUUUUCAGUGGUAGGUAUGUCAGUGGCAACAUUUAUGGGAUUCUCUGAAAAAGUACAAUCUUCCAGAGGAACAGAAGAGACCAUGGAGAAAGGCUGAGGGUCAUUUUGGACCUUGGUGACUUCCCAGUUUUGGUCAAUGAUAGUAGAGUGUUCACCCAAUGGCUCUGAUACCUCUAAGAUCACUGAUUUCUCAGGUCAAGAAUCAUCGUUCUCACUAAGAGCACAUGCAGUUCUAAGUCUCUUCUGACUGGAAAUUAAUAGAGAUUUAAAUUUUUUGGACAGGACACCAUCUACCUCAGGCACGAUCGAGUCACCAUUUUCAUUGCUCUUCUUAGAGUCAAAAGCAAAGACAUUAGGUAAAACGGUGAUGGCAUUUGUUGGCAUUUUGGUGACAUUAACAGGAUUAGGCGAAGUUACUGAGGCUAUUUUGAUUAUACCCUUAGUAACUUCACCAACAUAGGAUAUAUUCUCAGCUUGGGAGGCAAUGUCCUGAGCCAAAGUGUUAAUGUGAUCCUCUGUAGGCAUCACUUCAGCUGAAUGCAUUUUGUUUUCACUGACUUUUGAUUUUUCUGAUGUAAUGGUGUCUGCCAACUUCAGGGCAGCUGUGUUAUGAACGUUGGAUGAAAUACCUCUCUGGUAGAAAUGACCUUGUGUUUUUAUGGGAGUGGUGAUCACAGCAUGAUCAGUGGGGACAGUGCCAAAUUUUCUGCUCUUUUCCACAGUAACAAUUGUUUCUGUAUGUGGUACAGCGAAAUUCUUGAUUUUUUUAUUUCCCAAAUCAGAAAUUUCAGGGAGAAGGAUAAUGGCGUCAUCUUUACUUUGAGCCUCCUUUCCUGCAGAUGAUCUUUCUGGAAACUCAGGGGAAAAAGUCUCACCUCUAUCAUUUAGGGAGUGCCCCAUGGUUUUCAGAUGCUGAGAGUUGAAAUUUUUGGUGUAAUCUUUGAAAGAAGUGGUGACAAUAUCAGAGUCAGAAUUUUCUUUGAGAAUAAUAGUUUCAAACUCAGGGUGAGUCAUCCUAUACAGAAGACUCUUGGAGACCUCAUUUUUAAAGGAGGGUGUAUGAGAUACAAACCCAUUGGGUCCAUGUGUAAGUUGAAUAGGUUUUUUAUAGGGCUAUUUUCUUUCUUCUUUAAUUCAAAGCCAGGCUUAUUUGAAAUAUACUCAGAAUCACUUUGAUCAGGUUCAGAGAUGAUCAAGUCCAUAGCAUCUAGAUUAUUUUCCUUUGCCAGAGUAGUCCCAGGCCUAAGACUAAAGGAAUCAUCUCUCAAUGUAUUUGUAUAUUCCAGUGAUAGAGGAGUACCUAUUCCAGACACAGGAUAAUAAUUUUCCACAUUUAUUUCUUCAGAGGAGACAGGAAGGGAGUAGGUCACAGGUAUAACACCUGUAGGAGAAUUUGUUAUGCUACCUGUAGCAGUUUGGUCUUUGUCUGCCCAUGGAUCAGUUUGCUCAUCAGUAUAGGUUGCAUAGUUUUUGCUGAAAGUUCCUUUAUCUAACAACGCAGUCCUUUCCAGAGCAAAGUUUAUAUUAUCUUUCAUUGGAAUCCUAAAAUCUGGUGUUGUCAAGGUAGAUCUUCUUUCAGGCAAAAAGAUAUAUCCUUUUGGGACAUUUUCUUUCAUCAUCAGAGGAAGAAUAUCACCACCAAAGAAUGCAUUAUGUUCAGCACCACUAUUACUUUGUUGUAUCAUCAUCAUUUUUCCUUGAAACUCAGGAGUAAAUUUUCCAAGUGGAGGUUUUGAGACUUCAGCCAUAUAGGAUGAUGUAGGAUUCUCAAAUUCAAGUUGUUCAAUUGUGAUUUUGGGUGUUCCUUUGAUUCUGUUGGAGUUAUAUGCAUCAGAGUUAAGAAAAUAAUGUUUAGCUGCCAAACUGUUUCCCUUAGGAACAUUAUCACCUGCAAUAGGUAUGCCAUAAAUAUGAUCCCUCCUAUUGUCUUCAAGUACAUCUUCUUCCUCUGCCGUAAUGCCAGUGUCUUUUGGGGUGUCUGCUUCAUAGUUCAAUGUUAUAGCUUCCCUGAAAGUGUUUUCAGAUUCGUGUCUUGGGAUAUAAAACAUGGUAUCACCUUCUCCUUGAGGAUCAGUGGUGUCAGCUACUGGCAAGCUGCUGGGAUAGACUUAUAAUGAAAAGUUUUUAGUAUUAUAAUAUCUGCCAAAGAGGUCUUUUUUACAGGGUUUGUUGCUUGGGGAUGAUUGAAAGAGGCAAGAGACUUCAUAAAGGUAGAGUAAUCAGCUACUAAUUGAGUGCCAUCAUCUCUAGACACAUUGGGAUCAUCUCUGGAAAUGGCAAAGUCAUCUCCUAGUUUAUUAGGUUUACUGUUAAGAGUAUUAACUUCAUUCAUGGUCAGAAUGCCUUUCUUUCUGGGCGAGAUGGCAGCUAUGGAAGCCAAGUCUGUUACAACUUCAGUGUUUUUAUGUUCAUAGGAAAUAUCAUCAGCCACAGUAGUAAUGCCAAGAGAGACAUGUGUCAUUUCAGUCUCAGCCCUUUCUCCUUUAUUGGCCAGUCUCUUAGCACUGUUUGAAGCGAUGGCAGCAGGGGUUUGAUAGCCACUUCUGUGGUCAGUAAGAUCUGCAUCCUCCAUUGUGGAGAGUGAUAGUCUAUGUUUCCUGAUGUUCUGAGGUACAUUUGGGUUCUUUUUGGUGAUAGUAAGUAGAUUAUCAGUGAUUACAUUGUAGUAUAAAUUAGGGUUUAUAUGGUCAUCCAUUCUUCCAGUUUGGAAGAAAGAAUUGCUAAGUGGAAGGAGUUCAGUGCUGUCUGCUGCUUCCACGUUCUGUUUCACAGCUUCACUUUCAUGCAAACCAUCAACUAUUGUUUUGGUGGCCAUUGUCUUAAAAUGUGUUUUGUCAUUUGCAGAUUUAGUGACAUCAUAUAGAACAUCAACAUUUUCUUCCCCAGGAAUGGUAAGGCCUCUGUCAGUUAUUGUUACUUCAGCAGAAGGUAUACUACUACUUAAUUGGGAGAGAGACUUUGUGUUAUCAAUAGCCACAAGUGCAUUCCUUUCAAAGCCACUGUCUCUUGAUUCAAAGUACUUGAUAUUAUGUGCGGGUGGAAGGUUUUCUUUUAUCUUAAAAACAUCACCUUCUUCCACUAGCCGAAGAGCUGAUUCUUCUUCAUUAGCCAUUCCUUUGUCUAUCAAAUUUCCAAAUCUUUUUCUUGGUGUAAGAAUACUAAUUGUCUUUGCAGGCAGGAAGAUAAUAGCUACAGUAGGCCUUCCUUCUGGCAUGGUGGCCUUGUUAAUCAUCUGUUCAGAGCUGUCAGUCAUAUUUUUGGUCCCCUUACUUGCACUGGGAGUGGUAUUGUAUUCAUCAUUGGGAGAGGUGACAUCAGCUGUAAGGAAAGUAGAUGCCAAUGGAAUGUUCAAAGGAUCUGCUGAUACUUUAUUGAUUUUCCAUUUUUGUGUAAUGGCAUCAUUAACAAGACGAGGAUUUUCAGCCACAGGAUCUGAUACCCAAGCACCAGUCAAGGAAUUGCCUUUAAUUAGCAGGGAGUUUUGAGCUUGAUUAUUUUGGGCAUUGGGCUUAGGGUAGAUGAUUUAGCUACUGAGAGGAGAAUAUAUUCUUUGUUCAUAGGAAAAUCUGUUUCAGAGUUGAGACCUGCACCACCAUCAGCAUGGUUGUCAUUAGUAGAGAGACUAAUGACUUCAUCCACAGAGUCAGUAGAUUUUUCUGAAGGGGUGAUACUGACCUUUGAAGCUGAGGUCUUGUCAGCUACACUGUCUUCCCUGAAAUGGACAGAUCCAACAGUUACCGGGUGGCCAAUGGAAACCACAGGGGUGAUAUUGCUCUGGAAAGUGGCUGUUUUAAACACAGUAGCUCUUUCAACAUCCAUUCUGGCUUUGGCAUCAUUUGCAGUAAUUGUGGUGGGGGUUCUCUGGUCACCUCUGUUGUUAAUGAGGUUUGUGCUGUCCAUUGUGAAGGGUUUUAUUUUAUAUUUGAAUAGGGGGUUGAAUAUAACAGGGGUGUAAGAAGAGAGGAUGAUUUUGUUUCCUGCUGUUUGGGCAUAAUCUGCAUCAGGGCUGAGAGAGUAAGCUUUUCUUUCACUUUCUAUUGUGGAAGUGUCUGGAUGAAUGAAGAUGACUUCCUUUGCAAUUCCAUCAUCUUGGUCUAUAUUUGCGAUUUCUUGGACCACAGGAAUAACAUUCUCAAUUCCAUCAGUGUUCACAGACUUAAAAUUGUUCCUAUCGGUUUUGAGAUGUUCAUUGGCAGGAAUGUUAGAAAGGUACUUAAUUAUUGAAUUGUCUACUUUAGAUCCAAUUGCGUCAGCGAUAUUGUUAUUGUUGGUUGUUGUGAUAUUCUCCAUUUGAAUAAUGUGUCUGCCUUCUGUUAUUGCACCUUCCUUUGAAGGCUGAGUUAUUUUAAAGUUAAUGUUAGAGGUAGUCAUUGGCUCUAUGGGGUUAGGGUUAGCAUAAUGCUUUGUAGAAUUGAUGUGAUUUGUUUUGGAAAUAGUUAAAUCCUCCACAUGCAUAGUAUUUUUAGCUAUAUCUAAAUUGUUUUGGUAUCAUUGGAAUUACUAAUAACAUUAUUGCUUUUCUUAUACAUUAUAUAAUUAAGAAAAGAAUUUGUGGUGUUAAUGGGAUUGAUAUUGGAAAUAGUUUCAUCAAUGUUACUGGCAAUCAUGAUAGAUUUGGUAUCAGCCUUGUUGUAAGUACUCAGAUUAGGAAUAGAUCGAAAGUCAUUGCUGUUUUUUGCAGAGGAAAUGUUAGUUUUUUGAGCAUUAACUGUAGUUCUGCCGUGAUUCUUCAUGUCUGUGGCAUUGAUUAUAAUAGAAUUGUCUUUCUGUGGAAGAUCAGGAGCAUUGCUCACAGUUUUGCCAUAUCUUUCCAGAUAAGUAGUAUUAGUUAAAAUUAUGUGUUUGUCCUUCAUGUCAGGAACAUCAAGCAGAGUUGUAUAAUCUUCUAGAAUGUCUGUGGCAUCAGUUUUUGCUGUACUGUCUUCUUUCAUAAGGGUUGUACCGGUAAACGAUAUAUUCUCUGGUCCUGCUUCUUCCUCAUGAGUAGUGGUAUAAGUUUCAAAGAGUUUGCUUGCAUUUGAUUUAGUAAUGGCACUCUCAUCUGCAGAGGCACUGAAUUCAUUCUUAGUGUUUUGGAUGUAUGCAGCAGGAUUUAGGGCAAAGAAUAGUUUAGAUCUUGCAGUGGAUGGGAAGAAGUGUUCAAGAUUCUGAGUUUCUUUGGAGUCUGUCUGAAAGUGGGGAAUAGCAAUGGAAUCAGACUUAUACUGGUUUGUGGUCACGGGUAGAGGUGCUAAUAUGUUAUUUUCCCCAGAAAUAGUCAUCCUGCUCUGUAUUAAUCUGGAGUUGGGUACAAAUCUGGAAAUUGUGGUACUGACAGCAGGAGUAUCUUGAAUAACAGCAGAUGAAGGUGAGGCAUUGCUCUUUGGUGCCUCUGCCUGAGUAGAGUUGUCUCCUGUACCCUGAUCAUAAGCAAAGUUAGCUGAAGUCUGAUUAGUCGAAAGGUUACAUGGUACAUAAUCCCCAAAUGAAAGAAAGUUAUAUAUUCUAGCUUGAAGAGUCUCUGAGUAGUUUCUCUCUGAAAAAGGUCCAGAGAGCCUUGUUACUCUAUCAAGAGACUCAGGGCGGUUAUUUGAAGUGUCUGCAGGUGCAGAAUUUUCUUUUGUUCUUAGGAUGCAUGAGAGCGACUUGCUAUGCAGCUGUCUCAUGAGGACAAAGGUGGAUUGGCAGACUAAUGUUGAUUUGCCCAACUAUGUAUUUCCUGGCUCCCAUUAAACUAAAGGGAAAGAAGUUACAACAUUUUUGUGAGGUUCCCCUUACAGAUUAUAUUUUACUAAAAAGCCUGAAAUCAAUAGUCACAGCAUUAAAUUUAUCAAAUAAAGCAACAUUCUGAAGGUCUCUGCUUUCCUCUUUAUUGAUAGGUUGUUAAGUUAAUCAAGUUAGAAAUGCACAAUAUCGAUGUGAAAAGGAGCAGCUAAUAUGUUAGGGUUAAGUGCCCUCUGUAAGUAUAAACCCAGAGGUCCCAUGGCAAACUUUCAGAAAGGAAUCUUUUACAGUAUAAGAAGUAUAGAGAAGCCCCUUCAAAUUCUAUACUGUCAUGCAUUAUAACUUCUGUUAUCUUUACUUCAUUAUGUAUAUGAUUAAUUUUAAAUGAAAGAAGUUUGUAAAUAGAAAAUAGAAUAAUUAAAACAUGAUGAUGGCUUUUUGGGUUUUUUUUUUUGAGGAAGAUUAGCCCUGAGCUAACAUCCACCACCAAUCCUCCUCUUUUUGCUGAGGAAGAUGGGCCCUGGGCUAAUAUCUGUGUCUAUCUUCCUCUAUUUUAUAUGUGGGCACCUGCCACAGCAUGGCUUGAUAAGCAGUGCAUAGGUCCUCACCAGGGAUCAGAACUGGUGAUCCCUGGGCUGCUGAAGCAGAGCACACAAACCCAACCACUAUGCCAUUGGGCGAUCCUAGAAACACGAUGAUGUUUUGUUUAGCAUUUGUUUGUUUAUGUUAUCCUGCAUUAAACAUAUCCUGGUGAUCUAAAUCCAUUUUUUUCCCUCCAUGUAAUUUUUAGUUCCAUUAUGAUAUGGUUAUCCAAAAUACUGAAACUUACCGGGAAGUGAGAGACAAAAUUCAAGAUGGCCACAGUCAGGAUUAGGAUCUUCAUCUUGUCCUACUUAUUCCCUGCAACUGAGGUUCAGCUCCAGGAUCUGAGUGACGUAAGAGGAGCAAGAUAGGCAAAAUUGACCUAUACGUUACAUAAUCAAAGAAUUAUGAAGAAAUAAUUUUUUUGAGAGAUUCUUGGCUUUGAAUUGUGGGUGGUGAUCCAGGACAGCUGGCGGUGUAAUUCCAAUCCAAGUCUGAAGGCUAAGAACCCAGUAGCUAAUGGUGUGAAUCCUGGUCCAAAGGCAGCAGAAAAUUGAUGUCUCAACUCAAGCAGGCAGGAUGGCAAUCUCUCUAGCGUUUGACAAGGAGUCCUUCCCUCUUUGCUUGGCUUUUGUGAAACCACCUUAUCCUGGAUCUCUUCAUACCUCUCUGAAGUUCUUUUUUAGUUAUCACCAUUCAACUCUGCAUUAUCACCAAGAUCAACCUCAAAAUGAUGGCAUUUUCAAGAACUGAUCAAACAUGAUUCCCCCCAAUAAUUUACAGUUUAAGCAAGUAAAUGUUUGUUGAAUGAAUAAAUGUCAGAGUUCAAACAUGUAUACUUUUACUCUCAAUAUGGUACUUUUUCUGAAAUACUGAAACACCAUAUUUCAGUUAUAGAUUUUUGGAAUUAUUUGGGUUCUUAAUUCAACAAUAUUGAAGUAAAGUUGAAUUUAUUGAUAGUAAAGUAAAAUUUACUUUAAAUUUUAAUAAAUAAAAAAAUCCAUUAUUUUGCCAAAAUCCGUGACUUUAUGUAUAAUGACUUAAUAAUAGUAUACAGAUUUUUUUAAAGAUAAAUCUAGAGUUCAUUUUAUUAAC
This is a long non-coding RNA of Equus caballus (horse), 19151 nucleotides long. The record is from Ensembl. Lineage: Eukaryota; Metazoa; Chordata; Mammalia; Perissodactyla; Equidae.